RNAcentral lists this ribosomal RNA (806 nucleotides) under uncultured bacterium. RNAcentral describes it as "bacterial SSU rRNA". It matches the Rfam family "Bacterial small subunit ribosomal RNA", at positions 8 to 796 of the family's 1533-position model. The record is from RNAcentral.
AGAGUUUGAUCAUGGCUCAGGAUGAACGCUGGCGGCGUGCCUAAUACAUGCAAGUCGAGCGAACGGACGAGAAGCUUGCUUCUCUGAUGUUAGCGGCGGACGGGUGAGUAACACGUGGAUAACCUACCUAUAAGACUGGGAUAACUUCGGGAAACCGGAGCUAAUACCGGAUAAUAUUUUGAACCGCAUGGUUCAAAAGUGAAAGACGGUCUUGCUGUCACUUAUAGAUGGAUCCGCGCUGCAUUAGCUAGUUGGUAAGGUAACGGCUUACCAAGGCAACGAUGCAUAGCCGACCUGAGAGGGUGAUCGGCCACACUGGAACUGAGACACGGUCCAGACUCCUACGGGAGGCAGCAGUAGGGAAUCUUCCGCAAUGGGCGAAAGCCUGACGGAGCAACGCCGCGUGAGUGAUGAAGGUCUUCGGAUCGUAAAACUCUGCUAUUAGGGAAGAACAUAUGUGUAAGUAACUGUGCACAUCUUGACGGUACCUAAUCAGAAAGCCACGGCUAACUACGUGCCAGCAGCCGCGGUAAUACGUAGGUGGCAAGCGUUAUCCGGAAUUAUUGGGCGUAAAGCGCGCAUAGGCGGUUUUUUAAGUCUGAUGUGAAAGCCCACGGCUCAACCGAGGAGGGUCAUUGGAAACUGGAAAACUUGAGUGCAGAAGAGGAAAGUGGAAUUCCAUGUGUAGCGGUGAAAUGCGCAGAGAUAUGGAGGAACACCAGUGGCGAAGGCGACUUUCUGGUCUGUAACUGACGCUGAUGUGCGAAAGCGUGGGGAUCAAACAGGAUUAGAUACCCUGGUAGUCC